Molecule: non-coding RNA, 553 nt
Filed under: uncultured fungus
Lineage: Eukaryota; Fungi
Also listed under: 1 other name
Description: eukaryotic LSU rRNA
Rfam family: 5.8S ribosomal RNA (bases 177-330)
Source: RNAcentral
CUUGGUCAUUUAGAGGAAGUAAAAGUCGUAACAAGGUUUCCGUAGGUGAACCUGCGGAAGGAUCAUUAGUGAACGCCCUCACGGGCUUAUAACUAUUCCAAACCUCUGUGAACCGUGCCCUUCGGGGCUAUUUUACAAACAUGGUGUAAUGAACGUCAUAUAUCAUAACAAAACAAAACUUUCAACAACGGAUCUCUUGGCUCUCGCAUCGAUGAAGAACGCAGCGAAAUGCGAUAAGUAAUGUGAAUUGCAGAAUUCAGUGAAUCAUCGAAUCUUUGAACGCACCUUGCGCCCUCUGGUAUUCCGGAGGGCAUGCCUGUUUGAGUGUCAUGUAGACUCAAUCCCUCGGGUUUCCGAGGAGAUUGGACUUGGGUGUUGCCGCUCUGCCGGCUCGCCUUAAAAGACUUAGCGGGAUAGCACCGUAGUCGGCGUAAUAAGUUUCGUCGGUGAAGGUUGUGAUGACUGCUUACAAUCGCCCUCGGGCAAUUUUUGACUCUGACCUCAAAUCAGGUAGGACUACCCGCUGAACUUAAGCAUAUCAAUAAGCGGAGGA